This 460-nucleotide ribosomal RNA is filed under the name uncultured bacterium. RNAcentral's name for it is "partial 16S ribosomal RNA". It matches the Rfam family "Bacterial small subunit ribosomal RNA", at positions 338 to 795 of the family's 1533-position model. The record is from RNAcentral.
CCUACGGGUGGCUGCAGUGAGGAAUCUUGGUCAAUGGACGAGAGUCUGAACCAGCAACGUAGCGUGAAGGAUGACUGCUCUAUGGGUUGUAAACUUCUUUUAUAUGGGAAUAAAAUGUUCCACGUGUGGGAUUUUGUAUGUACCAUAUGAAUAAGGAUCGGCUAACUCCGUGCCAGCAGCCGCGGUAAUACGGAGGAUCCGAGCGUUGUCCGGAUUUAUUGGGUUUAAAGGGAGCGUAGGUGGAUUGUUAAGUCAGUUGUGAACGUUUGCGGCUCAACCGUAAAAUUGCAGUUGAAACUGGCAGUCUUGAGUACAGUAGAGGUGGGCGGAAUUCGUGGUGUAGCGGUGAAAUGCUUAGAUAUCACGAAGAACUCCGAUUGCGAAGGCAGUUCACUGGACUGCAACUGACACUGAGGCUCGAAAGUGUGGGUAUCAAACAGGAUUAGAUACCCGUGUAGUC